Molecule: ribosomal RNA, 673 nt
Filed under: Anastrepha ludens (Mexican fruit fly)
Lineage: Eukaryota; Metazoa; Arthropoda; Insecta; Diptera; Tephritidae
Description: partial 28S ribosomal RNA
Rfam family: Eukaryotic large subunit ribosomal RNA
Source: RNAcentral
AUCCGAAGUUUCCCUCAGGAUAGCUGGUGCAUUUAAAAAUUAUAUANAAUAAUCUUAUCUGGUAAAGCGAAUGAUUAGAGGCCUUAGGGUCGAAACGAUUUUAACCUAUUCUCANACUUUAAAUGGGCAAGAACCUCACCUUUCUUGAUAUGAAGGUUGAGGUUAUGAUAUAAUGUGCCCAGUGGGCCACUUUUGGUAAGCAGAACUGGCGCUGUGGGAUGAACCAAACGUAAUGUUACGGUGCCUAAAUUAACAACUCAUGCAGAUACCAUGAAAGGCGUUGGUUGCUUAAAACAGCAGGACGGUGGACAUGGAAGUCGUAAUCCGCUAAGGAGUGUGUAACAACUCACCUGCCGAAGCAACUAGCCCUUAAAAUGGAUGGCGCUUAAGUUGUAUACCUAUACAUUACCGCUAAAGUAGAUGAUUUAUAAAACAAUUUCGAUUGAUUUAUAAAUUUUGAAACUUUAGUGAGUAGGAGGGUACAAUAGUGUGCUUAGAAGUGUUUGGCGUAAGCCUGCAUGGAGCCGCUAUUGGUACAGAUCUUGGUGGUAGUAGCAAAUAAUCGAAUGAGACCUUGGAGGACUGAAGUGGAGAAGGGUUUCGUGUGAACAGUGGUUGAUCACGAGUUAGUCGGUCCUAAGUUCAAGGCGAAAGCCGAAAAUUUUCAAGUUUU